RNAcentral lists this ribosomal RNA (165 nucleotides) under Lophiostomataceae sp. Its description in RNAcentral is "partial large subunit ribosomal RNA". It matches the Rfam family "Eukaryotic large subunit ribosomal RNA", at positions 99 to 261 of the family's 3401-position model. Lineage: Eukaryota; Fungi; Ascomycota; Dothideomycetes; Pleosporales; Lophiostomataceae. The record is from RNAcentral.
CGGCAACAGCUCAAAUUUGAAAUCUGGCUCUUCUAGGGUCCGAGUUGUAAUUUGUAGAAGAUGCUUCGGGUGUGGCUCCGGUCUAAGUUCCUUGGAACAGGACGUCACAGAGGGUGAGAAUCCCGUACGUGGUCGCUAGCCUUUACCGUGUAAAGCCCCUUCGAC